This is a long non-coding RNA of Eriocheir sinensis (Chinese mitten crab), 1616 nucleotides long. RefSeq lists it as uncharacterized. The transcript has 2 exons. Lineage: Eukaryota; Metazoa; Arthropoda; Malacostraca; Decapoda; Varunidae. The record is from RefSeq and is a predicted model, not a curated record.
AGAGAGAGAGAGAGAGAGAGAGAGAGAAUAUCACUGCUCAUUUGCUUUUUACUCUCAAUGGAAUAUGUUACUGUCGACGAAGUAGGUUAAAAAAUACUAUAAAACAUUCGUGUAAUAAUGUUUUAAUGGCUUUGCAGUGAGGGUUAAAUGCUAGUUAAAGAAAAUGAUAUGUAGGUCAAGAGAACCAUUCACUCUCACACGGUAUUUUUCUUUGCAACCUAACUUCCUGGAUUCAGUAUUGUGGGGGAGGUAUAUAUACGUCAAGGUUAUCUUUAUUAUUACUUUUUCUUGUUUGUCCUUCAUGCAAGAUCGAGCCAAGAACCACUUUUUCAUGGUACAGUGUGAAAAUUCCUUAACAGUACUGCGUUUAUCAUGAGAGAGAGAGAGAGAGAGAGAGAGAGAGAGAGAGAGAAAAAAAAAAAGUGCUGCUGGUCUGGCAACACUGCAUGGGUAGAUUCUUUAUAUUUUUUCCAAGAUUUUUUUUUCUCUUCUGGAAAUCCUGCAUUGCCAUACCUCGCCGUGCAAUGCAUACAAGAACAACUACAUGUAAAUCAACCUUAAAAGAAUCAAAAGGGACCGGCCGGCAACGCAGCACCUUAAUAGAACAUAAUAAAAUCCAGGCAGGCAUUAGAGAACAUGAUAGCAGACGAAAGGUUAAACUAAAAAGUGGCAGCUCAAGUGGCUCUACCCCGCCCCCUGGCUCGACCAAUGGCGUUGCAACAUUUCAAGAGGAGCCGCCCGCUGAUUGGCCAAUCCGUGGGCGUCUCUUGCUGCGUCUGCGAUAUGAACAGGGGAGGGACAGGGGAAGGGGAAUGGGACGGGACACUGCAUUGGGGGACUCCUUAAUAGGCUGCUGGACUCAGUGGACUGACGUAGGAGGACUUGUUGUUACGCAAGCUCAGGGAUGCGUGGUGACGUGAAAUAAUGCUUUGCGAUAAACUUAACUGGCGGGGCAUGCGUGGGAUGUGUUAGAGAGUUAGGAAAUAUACAUUAUACACAAAUUGUAGCUUCCUACGUAGAUUGAUAUGAUGUUAGGGAUGAGAAGCAAUAUGACGUUUGAAAGAGAAUAGUGGUAAUGAGUUUUGUUAUGCGUUUUAUUGAAAGAAUUGACGUGGAGGAGAGGGUAUUAGGUACAAAGUGAAGAUACUUUAUUAUUAUUAUUCAUGGGUGAUUAUCCCGUUCAAGGUGCAGAAGUCGAGUAAAACUAUCACUAGCAUCACACAGCAGUCCAUGAAAUCCCGACAACUUCUACGAGAGGCUUUUCAAACAGGCGAAUUGAGGUGGCGAUGCGUUUAACAAUACGGGGUGUAACACAAGUCUGGUAAUGAAAUGAUAAAAGAACGAGACGAGUUUGUGAGUAAUGAGGUGGAUGGAGAAGCGUGGAUGAGUGAGUGAGUUGUGGAGAGAAGAGAAAAUGAAUACUAUACACGAAAGAUUAGACAACUGACGGUGGAAAAAUAAGAAAAGGAGACGAGUAAGUUGGAGUAACAAGUCUUUAAUAGGUUGAACGGAGAAGCGUGGACGAGUGCAUGGUUUGAACGUUAGGGAGAAAGAAAAAGUGUUGUGUGUUUUGCAUUGGAGACAGAGAUGAAUGUUUGAGAGAGAAAAAAGGGAGA